GAUGAAGAACGCAGCGAAAUGCGAUACUUGGUGUGAAUUGCAGAAUCCCGUGAACCAUCGAGUCUUUGAACGCAAGUUGCGCCCGAAGCCAUCAGGUUGAGGGCACGUCUGCCUGGGCGUCACAUAUCGUUGCCCAAUGCCUAUUGCAGUGCAAUAGGAAUUUCUAGGGCGAAUGAUGGCUUCCCGUGAGCGUUGUUGCCUCGCGGUUGGUUGAAAAUCGAGUCCUUGGUAGGGUGUGCCAUGGUAGAUGGUGGUCGAGUUAGAACGAUACCGAUCAUGUGCAUGCUCCCCAAGAUAUGGCCUCUAUGACCCACACGCGUCUUUUGACGCUCAUGACGAGACCUCAGGUCAGGCGGGGCUACCCGCUGAAUUUAAGCAUAUCAAUAAGCGGAGGA
RNAcentral lists this unclassified non-coding RNA (395 nucleotides) under soil metagenome. RNAcentral describes it as "partial contains 5.8S ribosomal RNA, internal transcribed spacer 2, and large subunit ribosomal RNA". The stretch from base 1 to 122 matches the Rfam family "5.8S ribosomal RNA", at positions 35 to 154 of the family's 154-position model. The record is from RNAcentral.